AGUGAACGCUGGCGGUAGGCCUAACACAUGCAAGUCGAACGGCAGCACAGUAAGAGCUUGCUCUUACGGGUGGCGAGUGGCGGACGGGUGAGGAAUACAUCGGAAUCUACUUUUUCGUGGGGGAUAACGUAGGGAAACUUACGCUAAUACCGCAUACGCCCUACGGGGGAAAGCGGGGGAUCUUCGGACCUUGCGCGAUUGAAUGAGCCGCUGUCGGAUUGGCUAGUUGGCGGGGUAAAGGCCCACCAAGGCGACGAUCCGUAGCUGGUCUGAGAGGCUGAUCAGCCACACUGGAACUGAGACACGGUCCAGACUCCUACGGGAGGCAGCAGUGGGGAAUAUUGGACAAUGGGCGCAAGCCUGAUCCAGCCAUACCGCGUGGGUGAAGAAGGCCUUCGGGUUGUAAAGCCCUUUUGUUGGGAAAGAAAAGCAGCAGGUUAAUACCCCGCUGUUCUGACGGUACCCAAUGAAUAAGCACCGGCUAACUUCGUG
Molecule: ribosomal RNA, 492 nt
Filed under: uncultured bacterium
Lineage: Bacteria
Description: partial 16S ribosomal RNA
Rfam family: Bacterial small subunit ribosomal RNA
Source: RNAcentral